Molecule: long non-coding RNA, 821 nt
Organism: Wyeomyia smithii (pitcher-plant mosquito)
Lineage: Eukaryota; Metazoa; Arthropoda; Insecta; Diptera; Culicidae
Exons: 4
Source: RefSeq, a predicted model, not a curated record
ACCGAUAUCAUUUAUGUUUUCCAAGUUGACCGAUGCGGUUUUUGUUUCGUUGCGUCAUUUCGUUAUUUAUGAUAAUGUGCGAAGAGCAUAAUGAAAUUCGUGAGUUUCGAGAUCUCUUCGGGAAUGAAUGGAGAAAAAAAUCAAUCCUAAUCGGAACCUCAUUAUAAUUCUCGAGAAUGCACGAUAGGAAAAAAGCAUUCCUCUGGACUUCUAUAUGAUCACUUCCACAAAAAAAAAACUUUCUGUUGGAAAGACAACAAUUUCAACGAACUGAUACCGAUUAUUGGACAGUUCUAUCACAUUAAUUUUUGUUGAAUAAAUAUACUGGCCGAAGGACCAAGACUGUCCGACGAAAAUGGAUACCUUUUGAUUGACGUGGACGUUGAACCAUCUAGAGGACACAUUUAUUGCUUGAGGUAGAACAAUACAAAAAUCCCAUUCUAUACAAACAUCUGAUCAAUUUAAGGCCCCUCGAUUUACCUUAUUGCGCAUUAUUGAAUUCAAAGAGUUAGUUACUAUAUACGAGCUAGGUCAAGUUUUGACAGUCUAAUUGUCUACUCGCUUGUCAGUAAUGGCAGAUAGCAGAAUAUUCAAGUCAUUUUGUAUCAUUUAGAGUAAAAGAAGAAAAGCAAAUGUUUCAUAUAAUUAAUAUUGAUCAGUUCGAUGAACCUCCAAUUUAAACACAACACAAACAGUUAUUUUCGAAUGAAGAAAAAGUUCAAAUAAACAUUGUAUGUAUCAUGCUUAUGUAAAUGAAUAAAAUGUAUUGGAAUCGAACGUUUAAUACUAAAAUAAAAAAGAAAAUGAAAAACUGUUAAUAU